Misgurnus anguillicaudatus (oriental weatherfish) is the source of this 471-nucleotide non-coding RNA. The record is from the annotation of a RefSeq genome assembly. NCBI's taxonomy places the organism in Eukaryota, Metazoa, Chordata, Actinopteri, Cypriniformes, Cobitidae.
CUCAGAACAUCAACACACAACUGAUCUGACUUCAUAAACAUGAACACACAGCUGCUUCUCAUUUCAAUGAUCAUUUCAGGUGUGAUGGCUGCGGAUCAGAUUGGGCCAAAUAAAGGUGCAGAUAUUAAUGCUGGAGAGGGAGAGACUGUGACUCUGAGCUGCUCAUAUGAUACCAGCAGCAAUUAUGUUAGACUUUACUGGUACAGACAGCAUCCUAACAGAGAACCUCAGUAUUUAAUAUGGAAAGAGGCUCGCUCAUGGAGUGAUACUGGUACUUCCACUGAUCCUCGGGUUAAGUCGACUACAUCACGAACAUCCACUGAACUCAUUAUUACCGGUGUAACUCUGUCAGAUUCAGCUCUAUAUUACUGUGCUCUGAGGGUUGGAGCCCAGUGAUACAAAGUCUAUGUGAAGCUGUACAAAAACUAAAAUAUAUUUUUCUCUUUGAACCUAAACCACAUCAAACCCACA